RNAcentral lists this ribosomal RNA (253 nucleotides) under uncultured archaeon. Its description in RNAcentral is "partial 16S ribosomal RNA". It matches the Rfam family "Archaeal small subunit ribosomal RNA", at positions 474 to 727 of the family's 1478-position model. The record is from RNAcentral.
AACCAGCACCUCAAGUGGUCAGGAGGAUUAUUGGGCCUAAAGCAUCCGUAGCCGGCUCUGUAAGUUUUCGGUUAAAUCCAUGUGCUCAACGCAUGGGCUGCCGAAAAUACUGCAUAGCUAGGGAGUGGGAGAGGUAGACGGUACUCGGUAGGAAGGGGUAAAAUCCUUUGAUCUAUCGAUGACCACCUGUGGCGAAGGCGGUCUACCAGAACACGUUCGACGGUGAGGGAUGAAAGCUGGGGGAGCAAACCAG